Molecule: ribosomal RNA, 200 nt
Filed under: uncultured bacterium
Lineage: Bacteria
Description: partial 16S ribosomal RNA
Rfam family: Bacterial small subunit ribosomal RNA
Source: RNAcentral
AGAGUUUGAUCAUGGCUCAGAAUCAACGCUGGCGGCGUGCCUAACACAUGCAAGUCGAACGCGAAAGUGGAGCAAUCCAUGAGUAGAGUGGCAAACGGGUGAGUAACGCGUGGGCGACCUGCCUUCGAGUGGGGGAUAACAUUCCGAAAGGAGUGCUAAUACCGCAUGACAUCCUUCGUUUAGAUGCGAGGAGAUCAAAG